ACAAAUCAAAACAACAAUUAAAUCAAAGCCCAUAUAAUUAAAAUCGGAGGCCCAAUCAGUAAUUAAAAUCGGCCAUUUAAAUAAAAUCAGAGGCCCAAUAUUAAUAAAUAAGCCAGCCCAACUCAAGCCCACUAAAAAUAAAUCAACAAGGCCCAAAGAAUUUAAUAAAUAAGCCCAAUUAAAAUAAAGAGCCCAAUUUAACAUAAAUGAAAGAAGCCCAAUUUAAAAAAAUAGUAGCCCAUCUCCACAUAACUCUCGGUUCUCUCUCUCUGUAAAACCAAUCUCGCCUUUCUCUCUAUUU
Molecule: long non-coding RNA, 301 nt
Filed under: Salvia miltiorrhiza (redroot sage)
Lineage: Eukaryota; Viridiplantae; Streptophyta; Magnoliopsida; Lamiales; Lamiaceae
Description: long non-coding RNA (SMIL_LNC010871)
Source: RNAcentral